This 253-nucleotide ribosomal RNA is filed under the name uncultured bacterium. RNAcentral's name for it is "partial 16S ribosomal RNA". It matches the Rfam family "Bacterial small subunit ribosomal RNA", at positions 524 to 776 of the family's 1533-position model. The record is from RNAcentral.
UACGAAGGGUGCAAACGUUGCUCGGAAUCAUUGGGCGUAAAGCGCACGUAGGCGGCUUCGCAAGUCGGAUGUGAAAUACCUAGGCUCAACCAAGGACGUGCAUCCGAAACUGCGAGGCUUGAGUACAGAAGAGGAUCGCGGAAUUCCCGGUGUAGAGGUGAAAUUCGUAGAUAUCGGGAGGAACACCAGUGGCGAAGGCGGCGAUCUGGGCUGUUACUGACGCUGAGGUGCGAAAGCGUGGGGAGCAAACAGG